GACGUAGGUGGCGAACGUUAUCCGGAAUUAUUGGGCGUAAAGGGUGCGCAGAUGGUCUGACAAGUUAGCAGUAGCAAAUCGAGGCUCAACCUCGUGGAAACUGGUAAUACUGUCUGACUCGAGUACAGGAGAGGUUAACGGAACUCCAUGUGGAACGGUAAAAUGUGUAGAUAUAUGGAAGAACACCAAUAACGGCGAAGGCAGUUAACUAUUCUGUUACUGACAUUGAGGCACGAAAGCGUGGGGAGCAAAACGG
RNAcentral lists this ribosomal RNA (256 nucleotides) under uncultured bacterium. RNAcentral describes it as "partial 16S ribosomal RNA". It matches the Rfam family "Bacterial small subunit ribosomal RNA", at positions 524 to 776 of the family's 1533-position model. The record is from RNAcentral.